UGACCGCUGGCGGCGUGCCUAAUACAUGCCAGUCGAGCGAACAGACGAGGAGCUUGCUCCUCUGCCGUUAGCGGCGGACGGGUGAGUAACACGUGGAUAACCUACCUAUAAGACUGGGAUAACUUCGGGAAACCGGAGCUAAUACCGGAUAAUAUAUUGAACCGCAUGGUUCAAUAGUGAAAGACGGUUUUGCUGUCACUUAUAGAUGGAUCCGCGCCGCAUUAGCUAGUUGGUAAGGUAACGGCUUACCAAGGCAACGAUGCGUAGCCGACCUGAGAGGGUGAUCGGCCACACUGGAACUGAGACACGGUCCAGACUCCUAAGGGAGGCAGCAGUAGGGAAUCUUCCGCAAUGGGCGAAAGCUUGACGGAGCAACGCCGCGUGAGUGAUGAAGGUCUUCGGAUCGUAAAACUCUGUUAUUAGGGAAGAACAAAUGUGUAAGUAACUAUGCACGUCUUGACGGUACCUAAUCAGAAAGCCACGGCUAACUACGUG
Molecule: ribosomal RNA, 495 nt
Filed under: uncultured bacterium
Lineage: Bacteria
Description: partial 16S ribosomal RNA
Rfam family: Bacterial small subunit ribosomal RNA
Source: RNAcentral